Molecule: ribosomal RNA, 252 nt
Filed under: Intestinibacter bartlettii DSM 16795
Lineage: Bacteria; Bacillati; Bacillota; Clostridia; Peptostreptococcales; Peptostreptococcaceae
Description: partial 16S ribosomal RNA
Rfam family: Bacterial small subunit ribosomal RNA
Source: RNAcentral
UACGUAGGCGGCAAGCGUUGUCCGGAUUUACUGGGCGUAAAGGGUGCGUAGGCGGUCUUUUAAGUCAGGAGUGAAAGGCUACGGCUCAACCGUAGUAAGCUCUUGAAACUGGAGGACUUGAGUGCAGGAGAGGAGAGUGGAAUUCCUAGUGUAGCGGUGAAAUGCUUAGAUAUCACGAAGAACUCCGAUUGCGAAGGCAGCUUACUAACCUGUAACUGACAUUGAUGCUCGAAAGUGUGGGUAUCAAACAGG